This is a long non-coding RNA of Arachis duranensis, 859 nucleotides long. RefSeq lists it as uncharacterized. The transcript has 2 exons. The record is from RefSeq and is a predicted model, not a curated record. Lineage: Eukaryota; Viridiplantae; Streptophyta; Magnoliopsida; Fabales; Fabaceae.
GUUCUCGCCACUGUUCUUCACCGCCUUGCCGCUACACCUCGCCACUUCUGCUUCUUUAUUCGGCCUCUGUUUCUACUUCGUCUUCUGCUUCAUCUUAUGCUUCUUGAUUCUGCCUUUGCUUUCUGUUUCUGGAUCUGCUUCUUCUUCUUCUUCUGCUUUCUGCUUCUUCAUCUUCUGCUUCUUCUGGGUCUCCAUCUUUAGCUGUAUGUAGAAAUUUUGAAACAGAUCACGGUGCUUGGUUAUGGUUAAAUGGGUUCAAAAGCAAAUUUAGACCCACACCCACCAACAAAUUCAGAGGUCCUAUGGUUACCGAUUUUUUAUGCCUGUCAUGUAUUCAUACUCAUUAUAGGGUUAUAAAGAAAAAAGGAAUUAACAAGCUGAAACAUGCAGAUACAGAGACGCCUUGCACAAAAUCGAGAGGUUGCUCGUAAGAGUCGUUUGCGCAAAAAGGCCUAUGUACAGCAACUAGAAUCAUGUUGUGUGAAGCUAAUGCAGUUAGAGCAAGAGGUUGAUCAUGCAAAACAACAGGUGAAGUGAAAGACAUGAAGCUGAGUUUGAUUCACUCCAGUUCCCGCUGUGGAUCACUUCAUAUUUGUUCAAUAUAUACUUGUUUUUUCUCGGCUCUCUUUUCAAUUUCUUGGGGCAACAAAACUGCAGGGAUUACAUAUUGGUGGUACUGGAUUGGGUUCUAAUAGUUUGGGUUUUACUGCCUCUUUAAAUUCCGGUUUGUUUGUUAUCAUGCCGCUAGUGCUAGAUAUUGAUUUGUCAUUGAUCUUGAGUUUUUUCUGUUACUGAGGUAGCACAAUAUGUUGGUGAAAUUAGUAUUUGAACUGUUUCUAUGUCAUUUUCAUGUUGAAUA